Xiphophorus maculatus (southern platyfish) is the source of this 289-nucleotide long non-coding RNA. RefSeq lists it as uncharacterized. Lineage: Eukaryota; Metazoa; Chordata; Actinopteri; Cyprinodontiformes; Poeciliidae. The record is from RefSeq and is a predicted model, not a curated record. The transcript is spliced from 3 exons.
CGUGGAUCCACACCAUGACAGGCAGGGGGCGCCACAGAGGGGAGGUGCAGUUGAGAUCCAGAGGCACGAAGACGUUGAGAAAAACUGUGUGCCUUCAGUCAGAGGAUUCUUCAAAUGUGCUGUAAUACAGACUGCUACAGGAGAUCCUGCCUCCCCACAGCCACCAGAAUCUACCACACCUUUUGGAGAACCUGGAAUUAUUAUGGACACUCCGAGGAGGUGGCUCCACUGCAGACCUGCAUGCACGCCGGCCGAGGGAACGACGCAUCGUAGACCCCAGACCACGGGC